RNAcentral lists this transfer RNA (77 nucleotides) under Coriobacteriaceae bacterium. RNAcentral describes it as "tRNA-Pro". It matches the Rfam family "tRNA". From Rfam's summary of the family: Transfer RNA (tRNA) molecules are approximately 80 nucleotides in length. Their secondary structure includes four short double-helical elements and three loops (D, anti-codon, and T loops). The record is from RNAcentral. Lineage: Bacteria; Bacillati; Actinomycetota; Coriobacteriia; Coriobacteriales; Coriobacteriaceae. RNAcentral also lists the same sequence under 3 other names.
CGGGAUGUGGCUCAGCUUGGUAGAGCGCUCGCUUCGGGAGUGAGAGGUCGCUGGUUCAAAUCCAGUCAUCCCGACCA